Molecule: microRNA precursor, 156 nt
Filed under: Oryza sativa Indica Group (long-grained rice)
Lineage: Eukaryota; Viridiplantae; Streptophyta; Magnoliopsida; Poales; Poaceae
Description: MIR812 microRNA precursor family
Rfam family: MIR812 microRNA precursor family
Source: Rfam by way of RNAcentral
CCCUGGGUUUCCGUUCGUCUUAUAUGAAAUUAUUUUAUAAUUAGUAUUUUUAUUGUUGUUAGAUGAUAAAAUAUGAUUAAUACUUUAUGCGUGACUUGUUUUUUUAAUUUUUUUUAAAUAAGACGGACGGUCAAAUGUUGGAUACGGAAACCUAAG